GACGAACGCUGGCGGCGUGCCUAAUACAUGCAAGUAGAACGCACAGUUUAUACCGUAGCUUGCUCCACCAUAAACUGUGAGUUGCGAACGGGUGAGUAACGCGUAGGUAACCUGCCUGGUAGCGGGGGAUAACUAUUGGAAACGAUAGCUAAUACCGCAUAAUAUUGAUUAUUGCAUGAUAAUUGAUUGAAAGAUGCUAUUGCAUCACUACCAGAUGGACCUGCGUUGUAUUAGCUAGUAGGUGAGGUAACGGCUCACCUAGGCGACGAUACAUAGCCGACCUGAGAGGGUGAUCGGCCACACUGGGACUGAGACACGGCCCAGACUCCUACGGGAGGCAGCAGUAGGGAAUCUUCGGCAAUAGACGAAAGUCUGACCGAGCAACGCCGCGUGAGUGAAGAAGGUUUUCGGAUCGUAAAGCUCUGUUGUAAGAGAAGAACGGGUGUGAGAGUGGAAAGUUCACACUGUGACGGUAUCUUACCAGAAAGGGACGGCUAACUACGUG
RNAcentral lists this ribosomal RNA (505 nucleotides) under uncultured bacterium. RNAcentral describes it as "partial 16S ribosomal RNA". It matches the Rfam family "Bacterial small subunit ribosomal RNA", at positions 28 to 507 of the family's 1533-position model. The record is from RNAcentral.